UACGUAGGGUGCGAGCGUUGUCCGGAAUUAUUGGGCGUAAAGGGCUCGUAGGCGGUUUGUCGCGUCGGGAGUGAAAACCUCGGGCUUAACUCGGGGCUUGCUUUCGAUACGGGCAGACUAGAGGUAUGCAGGGGAGAACGGAAUUCCUGGUGUAGCGGUGAAAUGCGCAGAUAUCGGGAGGAACACCAGAGGCGAAGGCGGCGACCUGGACAAGUACUGACACUCAACUACGAAAGCGUGGGGAGCAAACAGG
RNAcentral lists this ribosomal RNA (253 nucleotides) under uncultured bacterium. RNAcentral's name for it is "partial 16S ribosomal RNA". It matches the Rfam family "Bacterial small subunit ribosomal RNA", at positions 524 to 776 of the family's 1533-position model. The record is from RNAcentral.